CCGUCUUGGGCUGAGUAGAACUCCGUGCAAAGCUAUAGAAGGUUCAUUAUUCCGACUUCCGACGAAUUGAAGGCACCGAAGAGGAAAAAGACAAUACGCAACACUCCUGCCCAUGAACUCGUAAUUGAAAGGAAAAUGCGAUUAUGAAGAUUGAGCCUGUCUUCGGUUCGUACCCGAAUAAUUUUCUCGACAUUCCACUGUCUGUCCA
Molecule: long non-coding RNA, 208 nt
Filed under: Eucalyptus grandis
Lineage: Eukaryota; Viridiplantae; Streptophyta; Magnoliopsida; Myrtales; Myrtaceae
Description: long non-coding RNA (EGRA_LNC005574)
Source: RNAcentral